RNAcentral lists this ribosomal RNA (323 nucleotides) under uncultured eukaryote. RNAcentral describes it as "partial 18S ribosomal RNA". It matches the Rfam family "Eukaryotic small subunit ribosomal RNA", at positions 1470 to 1796 of the family's 1831-position model. The record is from RNAcentral.
CCCUUAGAUGUUCUGGGCUGCACGCGUGCUACACUGAUAUUGCCAAUAUGUCAUUCUUAUCCGAAAUGGAUUGGGUAAUCAAGUAAUGAAAUUUCAUGCUUGGAAUCGGUAAUUGCAAUUUUAUCGUGAACGAGGAAUUCCUAGUAAGCACUAGUCAUCAGCUAAUGUUGAUUAUGUCCCUGCCCUUUGUACACAUCGCCCGUCGCUACUACUGAUUGGGUGUUCAAGUGAGAUGCUUAGACCCUUGUUGCAUGGUUCAUUAUUGUGCUCCGAAAGGAAAAAGUUUCAAGCUUGAGUGUCUAGAGGAAGUAAAAGUCGUAACA